GGCAAUAUGGCCGAGCGGUCUAAGGCGCCAGAAUCAGGUCACAUCAUGUGAUCCUUUAGCAAUCUGGUCCGAAAGGGCGUGGGUUCGAAUCCCACUGUUGUCA
Non-coding RNA from Desarmillaria ectypa, 103 nucleotides. The record is from the annotation of a GenBank genome assembly. NCBI's taxonomy places the organism in Eukaryota, Fungi, Basidiomycota, Agaricomycetes, Agaricales, Physalacriaceae.